This 482-nucleotide ribosomal RNA is filed under the name uncultured bacterium. Its description in RNAcentral is "partial 16S ribosomal RNA". It matches the Rfam family "Bacterial small subunit ribosomal RNA", at positions 30 to 507 of the family's 1533-position model. The record is from RNAcentral.
AUUGAACGCUGGCGGCAUGCCUUACACAUGCAAGUCGAACGGUAACGGGCCUUCGGGUGCCGACGAGUGGCGAACGGGUGUGUAAUACAUCGGAACGUGCCCGAUCGUGGGGGAUAACGAGGCGAAAGCUUUGCUAAUACCGCAUACGAUCUACGGAUGAAAGCAGGGGACCGCAAGGCCUUGCGCGGACGGAGCGGCCGAUGGCAGAUUAGGUAGUUGGUGGGAUAAAAGCUUACCAAGCCGACGAUCUGUAGCUGGUCUGAGAGGAUGAUCAGCCACACUGGAACUGAGACACGGCCCAGACUCCUACGGGAGGCAGCAGUGGGGAAUUUUGGACAAUGGGCGCAGGCCUGAUCCAGCCAUGCCGCGUGCAGGAUGAAGGCCUUCGGGUUGUAAACUGCUUUUGUACGGAACGAAAAGCCUUCUUUUAAUACAGGAGGGUCAUGACGGUACCGUAAGAAUAAGCACCGGCUAACUACGUG